CCAGCAGGUGGCGUAGGAGAAGGAGCCCCGGAGCGAAGGGGAGACGCGGAGCUAUCAGGUGGAAAAGGGGCGCGGCCUGCCUACAGGAGAAGCUGACUUGAAGCCGAAAGAGGGGAAACUACACUGGAACAGACACACAGAUCUAUUUAAAUGCUUUGUGGCUCAUUAGAAUUCUUUAGCCAAAGAAAACAAACCAAAAUGGAUAAGAAGAAGAAAAAAAAAUGCAUCAAAGAAGAGAAAAGAAGA
Molecule: long non-coding RNA, 246 nt
Organism: Thamnophis elegans (Western terrestrial garter snake)
Lineage: Eukaryota; Metazoa; Chordata; Lepidosauria; Squamata; Natricidae
Exons: 2
Source: RefSeq, a predicted model, not a curated record